Acanthopagrus latus (yellowfin seabream) is the source of this 5503-nucleotide RNA transcript. RefSeq lists it as uncharacterized. Lineage: Eukaryota; Metazoa; Chordata; Actinopteri; Spariformes; Sparidae. The transcript is spliced from 7 exons. The record is from RefSeq and is a predicted model, not a curated record.
GUGUGACUGGGCUAAAUUAAUAUUUACAAAAUAAAUACUAGUAACCUUUACAUGAAAAAAAAGACUGUGUGCAGUUUGGUAUGCUAUUGUGUUGAUUUAAUUAAAUUUGAAUGAUUUAUCUAUUGCAUUUCAUGCAUUUUUAUUUGAAUAAUAUCAGCUGAAAAUCACUGAGUAGAAUUUAAUUAUAUUUUAUCAGUAAAGUUAACAAUGUCAAAAAAUCAAUAAAUUUUAUUCAACUGGUUUGAAUGACGGACAUUUCCGCCCAAGACAUUUGCGCCACAGGGACGUUGAUGUCUGCCAGUCAUCGUCAAGUGCCAUUUUCUCAAGGUGCAUAGCGAAUCUGAAUACUUCAAGAUCACAGGUUUUUGCCUAUGGGAUGGCAGUGUAAGAUCUGCAAGUCUUUGUCUGCUACAAAAGGGAACCUACUCAAGCAUUACAGACUACAGCACGCAACAUUUGGUCGUGGGCAAUCUCAGCCAUGUCUCUAUGAUAGUUGCCCUUGCACAUUCAAAACGCAGAGUGCGCUUCGCACCCAUUUGUCUAGGUACCAUGUAGUUAAGGAAAGUCUACAGCCAAAUAUCAUCUCCACUUAUAAGUGUUUAGUUUGUGAUGCUAGUUGCUCUUCUGAGAAGGACUUCUUUCAGCAUAUUGGAAAUCAUCUGAAAGGCCAUGAAACUGUCAUUUGUGUAUUUGAGGGGUGCAAUUUCCGGACAAAUAUUUACAAUACAUUUCUGAAACACAAAAGCAGAAGACACCAACCUUAUUCUUUGAGUGAUUUUAAGCAAGCUGUGUAUGAGAGACACUAUAAUCGGACAGCCGACCUCUCUGAUAUACCAGAGGCCAGUGCUGAUGAGGGGACAAGUUUAGAUUAUGAUCCCGACUGUGCAUCGUACCUUGUUCUGAAAAGAAUUGGCUUGCUUCUGCUGAAGCUAGAAACCAUCUGUAAUGCAUCUGUGAAGUGCAUUGAUGCUUUGGUUGAAGACCUUCACUUCAUUUCAUCUUCUGCAUCUGUAGCCAUUGUUAGAAAUACACUUGAUUCAACAUUGAAAUUAAAUAAAUGCACUGUAGACCAGGCCAUUGUAACUGACCUGGCAGAACAGCUGUGCAACUUCCAUCCCAUUAGUACAGCACUAGGAGCAGGUGGUCCUCUUAGUUCAGCUUUUAAGAGAAGAAGGUAUUUUAAGGAGCAUUUUCAAUGUGUUGACCCUGUUGAAUAUAUUCUUGAUUUUCAAAAGAACAAGACCUUUCAGUAUGUGCCCAUUCUCAAAACUUUGCAGGAAAUUGUGAAGAAUAAAGACAUUGCAGAGGGAAUCUUAUCCAGGUGUUCAAACAGCACUGGAUAUAUUAAGUCAAUUUUUGAUGGCAAAUUUUACAAGCAAAAUCAUUUUUAUGCUGGAGAGGAAACAAGACUUUCAAUAAUCCUUUAUGUAGAUGAUUUUGAGGUGUGUAACCCAUUAGGGACUUCAAGGAAAAAACACAAAAUUACAGCCAUUUAUUGGGUUUUGGCAAAUUUGCAAUCUGAGUUGCAAUCUGAAUUGACAUCAAUAAACCUAGCUUUACUUUGCAAAGUUGUUGAUGUCAAACAGUUUGAAUACAAAGUCAUUUUGGAACCACUAUUGAAAGAUCUUUGCACUCUAGAACAGGAAGGGGUUUUCAUUCCCAGUGCUGGAAAAAAUAUCAAUGGAACAGUGCACUGUGUUGCAGCUGAUAAUCUUGGUGCACAUUCAAUCAGUGGACUAGUUGAAAGUUUCACAGGGCCAUACACCUGUAGGUUUUGUCUUGGACAUUCUUCCAAGUACCAGACACAUGAAGUGCGAGGUGGAGCAUUUCCACCUCGUACAAAGGAGGACCAUAGUUUGCAUGUACAAACUGUUAAAGAAAAUCCCAGUUUAACACAUUUCUUUGGUGUAAAGCGGUCCUGUCCACUGACUGACAAAUUGACUCACUUUCACUUUGUCUCAGGGUACCCACCAGAUGUACUUCAUGACAUCUUUGAGGGGAUUGUUCCAAGGGAACUGGCAUUGUGUAUUCAGGUUUUCACUAAAAAGAAGUACUUUAAUUUAACUCAGCUUAAUGAGUUAAUUGCAUGUUUCCCCUAUAAGGGAUCAGACAAAACCAACAGCCCUCAGGGAAUCCCUCAAAAUUACACAAGUCGCAAAUCUAUAGGGGGAAAUGCUCAUGAAAACUGGGCCCUAAUAAGGUUGUUGCCACUCAUUAUUGGUUCGCUGAUACCAGAGGGUGAUUCUGCUUGGCAGGUUCUUCUGACUUUAAAAGACAUAGUUGAAUUGGUGGUUGCCCCUGUUCAUACACUUGAGACAAUUGCAUACCUGGACUUUAAAAUAUCAGAACAUCGUGACAGAUUUUUGGACGUUUUUCCAGAAGAGACACUGGCACCCAAGCACCAUUAUUUGGAACACUACCCUACACUGAUCGAAGAAUAUGGGCCUCUGGUUGGUGUAUGGACGAUGCGCUUUGAAGCGAAACACAGCUUUUUUAAGCAAGUUGUGAGGCACACUAACAAUUUCAGGAAUGUCUUGUUGACCCUUUCAACACGACAUCAGAUGAUGAUGGCAUACAACCUGCAAACAGAUGGUGGAAAGCAGGCACUGUGUGUUUCUAAAAUAUCUGAGGUGCCUGUAAGUGUGCUGCAUCCAGACAUACAGGAAACCUUAAGAGAUACGUCCCCACUUGUGUCUACUGUGCUGUUAGCCAAGACUGUCACCUGUUAUGGAACAAGGUACAAUGUUGGAAUGAUUCUUUCCUAUGGCUCUACUGGCGGACUUCCUGACUUUGCUGAGAUUAUUCAGAUUGCAAUUUUGGACAAUUGUGUGCACUUCAUUGUAAAGUUACUUGCUGCCUGGUAUGAAGAGCAUCUAAGAUCGUUUCACUUGGAGGACACUGGUAAAAUGGCACUUUGGGAGCAGCAGAAACUUGGUGAUGUCUACCCCUUGGCUGCAUACAGUGUAGGAGGAAAACGUCUGGUUACACUCAAACGUCACAUCUAUUGUUCGGUUUAGGCUGGCAGAGAUGGAGGAAAAACUGCGAGUGAUCAUUGACGACCGAAUUGAAAAGUUGGUCCUUCCCACCUUCCAGUCCCACCGACUGUAGAGGAGCUGCAAACUAUUGUGAAAGAGAACUUUGGAAUUUCUGAGGAAAUUCAGUUCAGUCUUCAGUAUUUGGACUCAGAAUUUGAAGAUUACUUCACUCUGCACAAAACUGACCAAAUUAAACACAAAGACACGAUAAAGGUUGUCUAUGCUGCCACGGUUAUUCUUAACUUGCAGCAAGUUGAUGAAAGUUUGAUCAAUUCUUUUGGUCGACAGUCAACAGACUGUGACUCAGUUGCUUAUGCUGAGUCAUCAGCAUCAAAUGCAGAGUCAUCAGCAUCAAAUGCAGAGUCCUCUGCUGAAACAUCAUCUUCACACGACACUAUUAUCCUGCCAAGACGGAGAAGCACCACUGAACGUUGUCAGCCAUGGCCAAAGCAGUUCCCCAUUCCACAGUUUGCAUAUGAAACUGAGAUGUACCUUGAAAGAGCCAGUGAAGAUUACCGAAAAGAUGGAAAACUUCUGACUGCCGCAAAGGUCAAAGCAGACAUAUUGGAGAAACUGGCUGAAACUAUAUAUAUGUAUACAGCUUAUCCGUCAAGUGCACAGAUAAGCGAUGUUGCUGAGGCACUGGUCAAGAAAUAUCCUUGUCUGAAGGAACCUGGCUCCUUCUCAGGUUAUUAUGGCUGGCAACAAAGCCUCAAAUACAAGAUGGCAAAUUAUCGCACCAAACUCAGAGGCUACGGUGUUCCUGAGGUGAUGUGCAAUGCCUUGAAGCGCAAGUGCCCUGCAGACCAGAAAUCUGCAAAGAAUGUGAAAAAGCCUCGAAAGGCAGAAGUAAACUACCUCCCACCUUACCCAGCAGGAGAGGAUGAGGAAAGUCAAGAACAGGAAAGGAUUCAGUUGCUAACUGAAGUAAGGAAAAGAGACAACAAAAAAUUGGUCAAAGACAAGAUGGCCAAAACCUUUGCACACCGAAGAAAUGAAAUAGUGAACCAAUCACCCACCUUAGAGGACAUUAAAGCCAGAUGGCCAGCUCUAUUUGAGGCAUCUAAUAUCCAGGAUGAGUUUCACAGAAUCACAACGGUGCACCUGGAAUCAAAGUUCAUGUCCAAGCUGGAUGAAUACUCUCCCAGACUUCUGAGCCUCUUCCACUCAAAGGGCGGAACCAUGGGAUUGAGGUUGCAGACUAUCCUUCUCAAGGCUCCUAGCAAUCCUACCAUCAAUAUAACCAGGGACACUGUCAUCAGGUGUCUGAUGUUGUACCUCGGGGAAUCUGCCGAUCAGCUCUUUAAAGAGUAUGAUGAUGCAGAUGAAGACAGAGUGGCACAGGAUCUUGCUUUACAAGACAUGAAAAUCUACAGCAGCCAGACUAAUCCGUCAGAGGCUACAGAGGACAUCGGAAUCGUGAUUGACGGGACAAAGGUCCUGACUGGUCUGGGUAACUUUCCAAAGGCUUGUGCCAUGCUCAUUGGUUUGACCUAUGCAGUGGAUCUUGCCUAUCCCAAGGAGCUCAAGUACACUUUUGAAGCCUUUCAGAAACCCUUCCUUGAACUGGAUUGUUUGAAGCUUUCCCCAAAAGUGAACAGCCUCAAGAGCAAGCUACUGGCUUAAGAAUGGGUCCCUAUAUACAUUGUGCUCAGUGCUCAGUAAUCAUAAGUCUUAAGUCUUGUUCAGAGAUAAUGUUAUCCAUACUAAUUUAAAAAGUGUGAUAUUAUACUUUAGACUUAUAACUGGCACAAGUAACUGUCAGAUGGACAGUGUUCUGCUAUGUUUUUGCCUCUGAUUUGUUAAAUGUUAGUUGUGAGCACAAGCUAUACUUAUCUGACACUGAGAAAGCUACCUGUGCAACUCGCCUGCCUCAAAUAGCAAGUGCCUUUGUUUUUCUCCAGAAAUAAUUUAUGGCUCUGUUUGCAGGCCUCAAAGCUUCAAUUCUGGAAAGAAAAUUUGGAAAUAUACAUAUACAUCUGUUUUACCUGAUGUAGUUGUGUGUGUUGUGUUGGAAUUGUUAAGUCUCUAUAACAUGGUCUACUUAAAGGCAGUGUCUGAGUUUUAGUGCUGCAGUUAAUUACACGUCAGAUGUGUUCAUUAGAAUGUGUCAUACUCACUUGAAGGAUUCGCUGCUGUAAUUCUUGCUUGUGGCCUUAAUUUGUUUUCAUAUCGUAAGUGUUCUGUCCCUCAAUGCUGGGGCAGUGAUGAGCAGAGGUCAUAGGUCAUUCUGCACUUAGGAGGAACAUCUUUUCUUGUCAGUGUUAUAUCAUUUCAUAAUAAGCCUUGAUCAAAAUACGUAACAGAUUGCCAGGAUAGAUAUCCCUAAUGCACACGUUAUUUUGUCUCUCUUUCUCUGUUUCUUUGUAUUUUGGCAUUUUACGCGCAAACAAAAAAACAGACAAAUUUGAAAAAUGUAUGUGUAACCAGACUUGCGCAAAUAAAUGUUUACCUGCUGUUCUACUCUA